UACGAAGGGUGCAAGCGUUACUCGGAAUUACUGGGCGUAAAGCGUGCGUAGGCGGUUUGUUAAGUCCGUUGUGAAAGCCCUGGGCUCAACCUGGGAAUUGCAGUGGAUACUGGCGAGCUAGAGUGCGGUAGAGGAUGGUGGAAUUCCCGGUGUAGCGGUGAAAUGCGUAGAUAUUGGGAGGAACACCAGUGGCGAAGGCGGCUCACUGGACCGGUACUGACGCUGAUGCGCGAAAGCGUGGGGAGCAAACGGG
Molecule: ribosomal RNA, 253 nt
Filed under: uncultured bacterium
Lineage: Bacteria
Description: partial 16S ribosomal RNA
Rfam family: Bacterial small subunit ribosomal RNA
Source: RNAcentral